UACGUAGGGUGCAGGCGUUAAUCGGAAUUACUGGGCGUAAAGCGUGCGCAGGCGGUUUGCUAAGACAGGUGUGAAAUCCCCGGGCUUAACCUGGGAACUGCGCUUGUUACUGGCAAGCUGGAGUGUGGCAGAGGGGGGUGGAAUUCCACGUGUAGCAGUGAAAUGCGUAGAGAUGUGGAGGAACACCGAUGGCGAAGGCAGCCCCCUGGGCCAAUACUGACGCUCAGGCACGAAAGCGUGGGGAGCAAACAGG
Molecule: ribosomal RNA, 253 nt
Filed under: uncultured bacterium
Lineage: Bacteria
Description: partial 16S ribosomal RNA
Rfam family: Bacterial small subunit ribosomal RNA
Source: RNAcentral